GACGAACGCUGGCGGCGUGCUUAACACAUGCAAGUCGAGCGGUAAGGCACCUUCGGGUGUACACGAGCGGCGAACGGGUGCGUAACACGUGAGUAAUCUGCCCUCACUUUGGGAUAAGCCCGGGAAAUCGGGUCUAAUACCGGAUAUUCUCUGAUCCACGCAUGUGGGUUGGUGGAAAGCUUUUGUGGUGGAGGAUGGGCUCGCGGCCUAUCAGCUUGUUGGUGGGGUAAUGGCUUACCAAGGCUUUGACGGGUAGCCGGCCUGAGAGGGUGACCGGCCACACUGGGACUGAGACACGGCCCAGACUCCUACGGGAGGCAGCAGUGGGGAAUAUUGGACAAUGGGCGGAAGCCUGAUCCAGCAACGCCGCGUGAGGGAUGACGGCCUUCGGGUUGUAAACCUCUUUCAGUACCGACGAAGCGAAAGUGACGGUAGGUACAGAAGAAGCACCGGCCAACUACGUGCCAGCAGCCGCGGUAAUACGUAGGGUGCGAGCGUUGUCCGGAAUUAUUGGGCGUAAAGGGCUCGUAGGCGGUUUGUUGCGUCGGGAGUGAAAACCCAGGGCUUAACUCUGGGCUUGCUUCCGAUACGGGCUGACUAGAGGUAUGCAGGGGAGAACGGAAUUCCUGGUGUAACGGUGAAAUGCGCAGAUAUCAGGAGGAACACCGGUGGCGAAGGCGGUUCUCUGGGCAUUACCUGACGCUGAGGAGCGAAAGUGUGUGGAGCGAACAGGAUUAGAUACCUGGUAGUCCACACCGUAAACGUUGGGCGCUAGGUGUGGGACUCAUUCCACGAGUUCCGUGCCGCAGCUAACGCAUUAAGCGCCCCGCCUGGGGAGUACGGCCGCAAGGCUAAAACUCAAAUGAAUUGACGGG
This 875-nucleotide ribosomal RNA is filed under the name uncultured Actinomycetes bacterium. RNAcentral's name for it is "bacterial SSU rRNA". It matches the Rfam family "Bacterial small subunit ribosomal RNA", at positions 28 to 917 of the family's 1533-position model. Lineage: Bacteria; Bacillati; Actinomycetota; Actinomycetes. The record is from RNAcentral.